UUUGAGAGGUGGUCCAGGGCUACGUGA
Molecule: small RNA, 27 nt
Filed under: Bombyx mori (domestic silkworm)
Lineage: Eukaryota; Metazoa; Arthropoda; Insecta; Lepidoptera; Bombycidae
Description: ovarian small RNA-9809
Source: RNAcentral